This 415-nucleotide long non-coding RNA is filed under the name Parus major (Great Tit). RNAcentral describes it as "lncRNA (ENSPMJG00000008502.1)". Lineage: Eukaryota; Metazoa; Chordata; Aves; Passeriformes; Paridae. The record is from RNAcentral.
UAAUGUGGCACAAACUACUGGGUUUGGAUUCAGUUCUAUCAUCCUUCUGUAAGGCACAUACUUCGAAACCUUCAUCUGAACUACUAUAGGAUAUAGAGGCUUACGGAAUGGCUGCUUGUUAAGAUAAUGAGCUGUGAUGGCAAACAGGAAUUUAGAAGGAUGAUAAAAGACAAUGGAUGAGGUUUGAAGGAAUUAUUUCAUCUUUUUUUUAAAUUAUUUUUGGAUUUUUGUUGUUUAUACUAUGGAUUUUUAGAGAAAGCUUAAAGAGACUGGAAGAGUGUUUGUAGCAGGGAAAUGGAACCUGGCUCUGAAUCCAGCCAACAUCAGAAAAGAAAGACUGUGACACAUGGACUGGAAGAUCAAAAAAGGGUUCUCUGGAUGCCAUCAAAAUGAAGAAAAUACUUCAGAAAUCUUA